Molecule: ribosomal RNA, 1233 nt
Filed under: Alburnus tarichi (tarek)
Lineage: Eukaryota; Metazoa; Chordata; Actinopteri; Cypriniformes; Leuciscidae
Description: partial large subunit ribosomal RNA
Rfam family: Bacterial large subunit ribosomal RNA
Source: RNAcentral
AGACCUUUAGUUUGAACCCCGAAACCAGGUGAGCUACCCCGAGACAGCCUAUAUUGAUUUAGGGCUAACCCGUCUCUGUGGCAAAAGAGUGGGAAGAGCUCCGGGUAGAAGUGACAGACCUACCGAACCUGGUGAUAGCUGGUUGCCUGAGAAGUGGAUAGAAGUUCAGCCUCGCACACCCCAAGCCAGAGAAUACACCGCUAAGGCACUCAGGGAAAUGUGGGAGAGUUAGUUAAAGGGGGUACAGCCCCUUUAACAAAGGAUACAACCUUUGCAGGAGGAUAAAGAUCAUAAUAUAUAAAACAUGCUGCUCUAGUGGGCCUAAAGGCAGCCACCUAAACAGAAAGCGUUAAAGCUCAGGCAGAAAGAAGUUUAUUAUACCGAUAAAAAAUCUUACUCCCCUAAUUAUAUCAGGCCAACCCAUGCCAACAUGGAAGAGAUUAUGCUAAAAUGAGUAACAAGAAGACCUGCUCUUCUCCCAGCACAAGUGUAAGCCAGAUCGGACUAGCCGCUGGAGCUUAACGAACCCAACCCAAGAGGGUAGUGUGAAUAGUACAGACCCCAAGAAGAACUCACAACUAAACAAUCGUUAACCCCACACUGGAGUGCUAUUAUAAAGGAAAGACUAAAAGAGGGGGAAGGAACUCGGCAAACACAAGCCUCGCCUGUUUACCAAAAACAUCGCCUCCUGCAACUAUAUUGAGUAUAGGAGGUCCAGCCUGCCCAGUGACUACGGGUUCAACGGCCGCGGUAUUUUGACCGUGCAAAGGUAGCGCAAUCACUUGUCUCUUAAAUAGAGACCUGUAUGAAUGGCUAGACGAGGGCUUAACUGUCUCCCCCCUCCAGUCAGUGAAAUUGAUCUAUCCGUGCAGAAGCGGGUAUAAUUAUACAAGACGAGAAGACCCUUUGGAGCUUAAGGUACAAAAUCCAACCACGUUAAACGACCCCCUAAAGGGCAAGAACUUAGUGGCCAAUGAAGUUUUACCUUCGGUUGGGGCGACCACGGAGGAGAAAAAAGCCUCCGAGUGGACUGGGUUAAAACCCAAAGCUAAGAGAUACAUCUCUAAGCCGCAGAACAUCUGACCAAAAGUGAUCCGGCUAAAAAGCCGAUCAACGAACCAAGUUACCCUAGGGAUAACAGCGCAAUCCUCUCCCAGAGUCCAUAUCGACGAGGGGGUUUACGACCUCGAUGUUGGAUCAGGACAUCCUAAUGGUGCAGCCGCUAUUAAGGGU